AGGAUGAAUGCUGGCGGCGCGCCUAACACAUGCAAGUCGAGCGGAAAGGCCCUUCGGGGUACUCGAGCGGCGGACGGCUGAGUAACGCGUGGGAACAUGCCCCAAAGUGAGGAAUAACUGCCCGAAAGGGUAGCUAAUGCCGCAUAUGAUCUUAGGAUUAAAGGAUUUAUCCGCUUUGGGAGUGGCCCGCGUACGAUUAGGUAGUUGGUGAGGUAAAGGCUCACCAAGCCCACGAUCGUUAACUGGUCUGAGAGGAUGAUCAGUCAGACUGGAACUGAGACACGGUCCAGACUCCUACGGGAGGCAGCAGUGAGGAAUCUUCCACAAUGGGCGAAAGCCUGAUGGAGCGACGCCGCGUGCAGGAUGAAGGCCUUCGGGUGUAACUGCUUUAUAAGUGAAGAUAUGACGGUAACUUAUGAAUAAGCACCGGCUAACUACGUGCCAGCAGCCGC
This 452-nucleotide ribosomal RNA is filed under the name uncultured bacterium. RNAcentral describes it as "SSU rRNA". It matches the Rfam family "Bacterial small subunit ribosomal RNA", at positions 26 to 518 of the family's 1533-position model. The record is from RNAcentral.